Molecule: ribosomal RNA, 503 nt
Filed under: uncultured Erysipelotrichaceae bacterium
Lineage: Bacteria; Bacillati; Bacillota; Erysipelotrichia; Erysipelotrichales; Erysipelotrichaceae
Description: bacterial SSU rRNA
Rfam family: Bacterial small subunit ribosomal RNA
Source: RNAcentral
UCCGGAAUGAUUGGGCGUAAAGGGUGCGUAGGUGGCAGAUCAAGUCUGGAGUAAAAGGUAUGGGCUCAACCCGUACUUGCUCUGGAAACUGAUCAGCUAGAGAACAGAAGAGGACGGCGGAACUCCAUGUGUAGCGGUAAAAUGCGUAGAUAUAUGGAAGAACACCGGUGGCGAAGGCGGCCGUCUGGUCUGGAUCCUGACACUGAAGCACGAAAGCGUGGGGAGCAAAUAGGAUUAGAUACCCUAGUAGUCCACGCCGUAAACGAUGAGAACUAGGUGUUGGGGGAAUAACUCAGUGCCGCAGUUAACGCAAUAAGUUCUCCGCCUGGGGAGUAUGCACGCAAGUGUGAAACUCAAAGGAAUUGACGGGGGCCCGCACAAGCGGUGGAGUAUGUGGUUUAAUUCGAAGCAACGCGAAGAACCUUACCAACCCUUGACAUCCUGUGCUAUAUUUAGAGAUAGAUAGUUCCCUUCGGGGACGCAGUGACAGGUGCUGCAUGGCU